Molecule: non-coding RNA, 92 nt
Organism: Mycena galericulata
Lineage: Eukaryota; Fungi; Basidiomycota; Agaricomycetes; Agaricales; Mycenaceae
Source: the annotation of a GenBank genome assembly
GACCCUGUUGCAUAAUGGUAGUGCGUCGCGGAUACGUGUCAUUCCAUCGGGAUUGUUUGGUGAUGUUCUCAGUUCGAUUCUGAGUAGGGUCG